CAGAUUGCAGGCUGCAACCCGCCUGCAUGAAGUCGGAAUUGCUAGUAAUCGCGGAUCAGCAUGCCGCGGUGAAUACGUUCCCGGGCCUUGUACACACCGCCCGUCACACCAUGGGAGCCGGUAAUACCCGAAGUCAGUAGUCCAACCACGUGAGGACGCUGCCGAAGGUAGGAUUGGCGACUGGGGUGAAGUCGUAACAAGGUAUC
This 206-nucleotide ribosomal RNA is filed under the name uncultured bacterium. RNAcentral's name for it is "partial 16S ribosomal RNA". It matches the Rfam family "Bacterial small subunit ribosomal RNA", at positions 1294 to 1500 of the family's 1533-position model. The record is from RNAcentral.